Felis catus (domestic cat) is the source of this 1207-nucleotide long non-coding RNA. RefSeq lists it as uncharacterized. The record is from RefSeq and is a predicted model, not a curated record. NCBI's taxonomy places the organism in Eukaryota, Metazoa, Chordata, Mammalia, Carnivora, Felidae. The transcript is spliced from 2 exons.
CCGACCCUGGAGACAGUGGGUCAGGUCGUGCACAGGACGCCUCAGGUCUCUAGCUCGCAGGGACCCAAAGGUAACACAGGGAGACCCAGAGACAGCCGGUCCAGCCUGACACCACUCUGAUCUGACUUGUGUGGCCCCAGGUCCCCUCCCUUGUGUGUGUGUGUGUUGUACGUGUGUGUGUCGGUGUGUGUCUGGGUGGAAGAAGGGGUCGUAUGUGGAGGGCCCACCUGAGCAGCUGCAGGCUGAUCAAGGGGUCAGAUACCUGGUCGUCAGGUCAGGCCCACACCCCGGUCAAGGCUGGAUGGGAGGGACAGGGUCUGCUGGGUUGGCCCUCUUGUCCCCGAUGUUCAUCCGGAGCCCUGUAGGUGGAUGUCACUGUGUCCCAGGCGCAGGGCUGUGCACAUUCAGGUCUGUGUCCGAUCUGGGAGCCGCAGGUGGAGAGGGAGGAAGGACACUGAGGAUGACUGGGUGGGGCUGUGAUGUCUCCGGGCCGUCCGCGGGUCACUGUCUUUACAGAAAUCAACCGAUGAAAUCGGGAAACGUCUGGCCGAAUCCCAUUACACCUGCCGUAGAGAGUUGUGCGUGUGCCCCGUCGCCCAGGAGGGCCACCCUGUACCCAGGGAGAGAGUGGCCGCACAGAGUUCAUGUGAAGCAGAGCCUGGAGAUGGCCUGGGAAGGCCUCCUUCACCGCCCUGGCCCCUCCAGAGGGUGCUGGUUCACGGGUCCUGGGAUCAGGACCCGGAGCCCCCGGAGCCAGAGCCCGAGGAUGCCGGUGCAGGAGCAGAAGCCGGUGCGGCUCCAGAGCCCGAACCAAGGGCAUCGGGGUCCUCGGCGUCUCUGCAUUCAGGGGUGGAGUCUGGGGCGCCUCCUGCAGGGGCCGGAGAGCCAGCAGGUGACCUGGUACCUGUGCUGGGACAGCGGGCACCUGAGCAGAGUCAGCUGGUUCCUGCUUCUGCUCCCGACACUGUUCCUGCCAUCGCCCUUGUUCCCCUAUGGAUUCCGGCCACAAAUCCAGGGCUCAAAGGCCUUCGAGGGGUGUUUAUUGUAUUUCUAAUUGUUGCUCCAGUCCCAGUCCCCGACGCCUCCACCAGAAUGACUCUUCCUCUUCUCCCUUAUCCUUUCGCUCCUCUACCUUUUAGGUGGUACAUUAUUUGUUCAUGGUAUGUUUAAAAUCCACAUUAAUCUUCAAUAAAAAUUUUGUUUAUUU